UUAUUCAAGGUUUAACUUUUCAAAGUUUGGUUGAUAGUGGUAGUGAUGUAAAUUUAAUAACAUGUAAAGUAUUUUUCACUUUAGGAAUUACGAAGUUUACCCAAGAAAAUGUAAUGUUUACUGGGCUCGGAAAGAAACAAGUCAGACAGGAAGUUGAUGAUUUGGUAAACAGUUAUGUCCCAGUGCAAUCCAAGGAGGCACCCAUCGAGAUGAAGAUCAUACUUAAGGACGACAUUCCAGUUGCUCAGCGACCGAGACGAUUAUCUGUGAUGGAGACCAAGGAAGUGGACAACCAAAUAGGAAGUACAUCGAGAACUUCGCAUUAAUUGCUGCACCACUGACGACGUUACUCCGGAAAGACCAACAUUUUGAAUUUACUGAAAAGGAAAGAGAAGCAUUUCAUAUCCUGAAACAAAAGUUGUGUGAGAAGCCAGUACUGAAGAUCUACAACCCAGAAGCACCAACAGAACUGCAUACAGAUGCAUCAAUGCAUGCAUAUGCAGCCAUACUAAUGCAACUAUGCCCAGACGACGGAAAGAUGCAUCCAGUUUAUUAUUCCAGCUGCAAGACUACUGACAGUGAGAAGAAGUACACCAGUUACGAGUUGGAAGCAUUGGCAGUUGUUCAAGGAGUGAAGAAGUUCCGCAAAUACUUGCUUGGGAUUCCCUUCAAGAUUGUCACCGACUGUGCUGCUUUCGAGAUGACCCUAAAGAAGAAAGAUCUGGUCACUAGAGUCGCGCGCUGGGUACUGCUGCUACAAGAGUACGAUUACACAGUGGAGCACCGACCUGGAACUAAAAUGAGGCAUGUGGACGCAUUGAGUAGAGUGCAGUA
This is a long non-coding RNA of Ostrinia nubilalis (European corn borer), 834 nucleotides long. RefSeq lists it as uncharacterized. Lineage: Eukaryota; Metazoa; Arthropoda; Insecta; Lepidoptera; Crambidae. The transcript has 3 exons. The record is from RefSeq and is a predicted model, not a curated record.